RNAcentral lists this ribosomal RNA (754 nucleotides) under uncultured bacterium. RNAcentral's name for it is "bacterial SSU rRNA". It matches the Rfam family "Bacterial small subunit ribosomal RNA", at positions 629 to 1384 of the family's 1533-position model. The record is from RNAcentral.
UGAACUGGGNGACUAGAGUGUGUCAGAGGGAGGUAGANUUCCACGUGUAGCAGUGAAAUGCGUAGAGAUGUGGAGGAAUACCGAUGGCGAAGGCAGCCUCNUGGGAUAACACUGACGUUCAUGCCNGAAAGCGUGGGUAGCAAACAGGAUUAGAUACCCUGGUAGUNCACGCCCUAAACGAUGUCGAUUAGCUGUUGGGCAGCAUGACUGCUUAGUAGUGAAGCUAACGCGUGAAAUCGACCGCCUGGGGAGUACGGUCGCAAGAUUAAAACUCAAAGGAAUUGACGGGGACCCGCACAAGCGGUGGAUGAUGUGGAUUAAUUCGAUGCGACGCGAAGAACCUUACCUGGUCUUGACAUGUACGGAACCCUCCAGAGACGGAGGGGUGCCUUCGGGAGCCGUAACACAGGUGCUGCAUGGCUGUCGUCAGCUCGUGUCGUGAGAUGUUGGGUUANNNNNNNCAACGAGCGCAACCCUUGUCAUUAGUUGCCAUCAUUAAGUUGGGCACUCUAAUGAGACUGCCGGUGACAAGCCGGAGGAAGGUGGGGAUGACGUCAAGUCCUCAUGGCCCUUAUGACCAGGGCUUCACACGUCAUACAAUGGUCGGUACAGAGGGUAGCCAAGCCGCGAGGUGGAGCCAAUCUCACAAAACCGAUCGUAGUCCGGAUUGCACUCUGCAACUCGAGUGCAUGAAGUCGGAAUCGCUAGUAAUCGCAGGUCAGCAUACCGCGGUGAAUACGUUCCCGGGUCUUNU